This 328-nucleotide ribosomal RNA is filed under the name uncultured eukaryote. RNAcentral's name for it is "partial 18S ribosomal RNA". It matches the Rfam family "Eukaryotic small subunit ribosomal RNA", at positions 1470 to 1796 of the family's 1831-position model. The record is from RNAcentral.
CCCUUAGAUGUCCUGGGCCGCACGCGCGUUACACUGAUGCAUUCAACGAGCUUAUAACCUUGGCCGAGAGGCCUGGGCAAUCUUGUUAACGUGCAUCGUGAUAGGGAUAGAUUAUUGAAAUUAUUAAUCUUGAACGAGGAAUUCCUAGUAAACGCAGAUCAUCAAUCUGCAUUGAUUACGUCCCUGCCCUUUGUACACACCGCCCGUCGCACCUACCGAUUGGAUGGUCCGGGGAAGCCUCGGGAUUGUGGUUCUUGCCGCUUUAUUGUGGCGUGACCGCGAGAACUUGUCUAAACCUUAUCAUCUAGAGGAAGGUGAAGUCGUAACA